AGCAGUCGCCGCGGGAAUACGGAGGGUGCAAGCGUUAAUCGGAAUUACUGGGCGUAAAGCGUGCGUAGGCGGUUCGUUAAGUCUGUUGUGAAAGCCCCGGGCUCAACCUGGGAAUGGCAAUGGAUACUGGCGAGCUAGAGUGUGUCAGAGGAUGGUGGAAUUCCCGGUGUAGCGGUGAAAUGCGUAGAGAUCGGGAGGAACAUCAGUGGCGAAGGCGGCCAUCUGGGACAACACUGACGCUGAGGCACGAAAGCGUGGGGAGCAAACAGGAUUAGAUACCCCCGUAGUCCCUGUCUCUUAUAC
RNAcentral lists this ribosomal RNA (303 nucleotides) under uncultured bacterium. Its description in RNAcentral is "partial 16S ribosomal RNA". It matches the Rfam family "Bacterial small subunit ribosomal RNA", at positions 507 to 807 of the family's 1533-position model. The record is from RNAcentral.